This 132-nucleotide small nucleolar RNA is filed under the name Dasypus novemcinctus (nine-banded armadillo). Its description in RNAcentral is "Small nucleolar RNA SNORA31 (ENSDNOG00000043338.1)". Lineage: Eukaryota; Metazoa; Chordata; Mammalia; Cingulata; Dasypodidae. The record is from RNAcentral.
UUGCAUCUCUGACAAACUGGAGCAGGUAAUGUCUGCUGCUAAGUUUUCCAUUACAAAUACAAGUAAAAAAGGUCCUUGCACUUCCUGUCUGCCUGGUUGUGGUAGCCAAGAUUGAAUAAGGGGAAUACAGGA